AUCUGUGUGUGACGGUUUCAGAUGAAUCAAGAUGGCUCCUCUGACAUAUCUACUCUGCGUUCUCUACUUUUAUAUUCAAACUUCCAAUGGUGAGAUUGUGAUGACACAGAAACCGAGUCAUAUUUUUGCAUUUCCUGGAGAAAAGGUCAUUAUCUCAUGUACUUCCAGCUCCAGCACCUAUUACUCUGCUAUUUCAAAGUAUGAAGUCAGCUGGUACAUGCUUAAAGAAGGGCAUCUUCCAAAGCUUCUUGUAUAUUACGCCACCACUCUACAUUCUGGGACACCAGCCCGGUUCAGUGCUACCGGAUCAGGCAAUGAUUUCUCUCUAACGAUUGAUGGGGUAAAGGAAGAGGAUGCAGGAGGUUAUUACUGCUCCAGUGAUUAUGGCAACCCAAUCACACAGUGA
Non-coding RNA from Nanorana parkeri, 406 nucleotides. Lineage: Eukaryota; Metazoa; Chordata; Amphibia; Anura; Dicroglossidae. The record is from the annotation of a RefSeq genome assembly.